This 248-nucleotide ribosomal RNA is filed under the name uncultured Muribaculaceae bacterium. RNAcentral's name for it is "partial 16S ribosomal RNA". It matches the Rfam family "Bacterial small subunit ribosomal RNA", at positions 524 to 772 of the family's 1533-position model. The record is from RNAcentral. Lineage: Bacteria; Pseudomonadati; Bacteroidota; Bacteroidia; Bacteroidales; Muribaculaceae.
UACGGAGGAUGCGAGCGUUAUCCGGAUUUAUUGGGUUUAAAGGGUGCGCAGGCGGCGUGUCAAGUCAGCGGUAAAAUGUCGGGGCUCAACCCCGGCCGGCCGUUGAAACUGGCGUGCUCGAGUUGGAGAGAAGUAUGCGGAAUUCGUGGUGUAGCGGUGAAAUGCAUAGAUAUCACGAAGAACCCCGAUUGCGAAGGCAGCAUACCGGCUCCACACUGACGCUGAGGCACGAAAGCGUGGGUAUCGAA